UACGAAGGGGGCUAGCGUUGCUCGGAAUUACUGGGCGUAAAGGGCGCGUAGGCGGAUGUCUAAGUCAGAGGUAAAAGCCCAGGGCUUAACCUUGGAACUGCCUUUGAUACUGGGCAUCUUGAGUUCGGGAGAGGUGAGUGGAACUCCGAGUGUAGAGGUGAAAUUCGUAGAUAUUCGGAAGAACACCAGUGGCGAAGGCGACUCACUGGCCCGAUACUGACGCUGAGGCGCGAAAGCGUGGGGAGCAAACAGG
Molecule: ribosomal RNA, 253 nt
Filed under: uncultured bacterium
Lineage: Bacteria
Description: partial 16S ribosomal RNA
Rfam family: Bacterial small subunit ribosomal RNA
Source: RNAcentral